CACGUAGGGCGCAAGCGUUGUCCGGAAUCAUUGGGCGUAAAGAGCGUGUAGGCGGUUGCUUAAGUUUGGUGUGAAAUCUCCCGGCUCAACUGGGAGGGUGCGCCGAAUACUGAGUGACUCGAGUGCGGGAGAGGAGAGUGGAAUUCCUGGUGUAGCGGUGAAAUGCGUAGAUAUCAGGAGGAACACCGGUGGUGUAGACGGCUCUCUGGACCGUAACUGACGCUGAGACACGAAAGCGUGGGUAGCAAACAGG
RNAcentral lists this ribosomal RNA (253 nucleotides) under uncultured bacterium. RNAcentral describes it as "partial 16S ribosomal RNA". It matches the Rfam family "Bacterial small subunit ribosomal RNA", at positions 524 to 776 of the family's 1533-position model. The record is from RNAcentral.